This 406-nucleotide ribosomal RNA is filed under the name uncultured bacterium. RNAcentral's name for it is "partial 16S ribosomal RNA". It matches the Rfam family "Bacterial small subunit ribosomal RNA", at positions 30 to 526 of the family's 1533-position model. The record is from RNAcentral.
AUUGAACGCUGGCGGCAGGCCUAACACAUGCAAGUCGAACGCGUGGCGGACGGGUGAGUAAUGUCUGGGAAACCGCCCCAUGGAGGGGGAUAACUACUGGAAACGGUAGCUAAUAUCGCAUAUCAUCGGAUGUGUCCAGAUGGGAUUAGCUCGUAGGUGAGGUAACGGCUCACCUAGGCGACGAUCCCUAGCUGGUCUGAGAGGAUGACCAGCCACACUGGAACUGAGACACGGUCCAGACUCCUACGGGAGGCAGAAGUGGGGAAUAUUGCACAAUGGGCGCAAGACUGAUGCAGCCAUGCCGCGUGUAUGAAGAAGGCCUUCGGGUUGUAAAGUACUUUCAGCGGGGAGGCGUUACCCGCAGAAGAAGCACCGGCUAACUCCGUGCCAGCCGCCGCGGUAAUAC